UUGCACGCUGGCGGCAUGCUUUACACAUGCAAGUCGAACGGUAACAGGCCUUCGGGUGCUGACGAGUGGCGAACGGGUGAGUAAUGCAUCGGAACGUGCCCAGAGGUGGGGGAUAACGCAGCGAAAGCUGUGCUAAUACCGCAUGUGAUCUGAGGAUGAAAGCGGGGGACCAGGCAGCAAUGUUUGGCCUCGCGCCUUUGGAGCGGCCGAUGUCAGAUUAGGUAGUUGGUGGGGUAAAGGCCUACCAAGCCGACGAUCUGUAGCUGGUCUGAGAGGACGACCAGCCACACUGGGACUGAGACACGGCCCAGACUCCUACGGGAGGCAGCAGUGGGGAAUUUUGGACAAUGGGCGCAAGCCUGAUCCAGCAAUGCCGCGUGCGGGAAGAAGGCCUUCGGGUUGUAAACCGCUUUUGUACGGAACGAAAAGGCUCUGGCUAAUACCUGGGGCUGAUGACGGUACCGUAAGAAUAAGCACCGGCUAACUACGUG
RNAcentral lists this ribosomal RNA (491 nucleotides) under uncultured bacterium. Its description in RNAcentral is "partial 16S ribosomal RNA". It matches the Rfam family "Bacterial small subunit ribosomal RNA", at positions 30 to 507 of the family's 1533-position model. The record is from RNAcentral.